ACAUUUACAAAGGUUCUGCAACUGUUAUAAAGCCUGUAUAACUGUAAAAUUUGAACAUUUUGUAAAAAUAUUUCAAGCGUGAGACGUUUACAGGUAUUUCUAUUUAAAGAUUUAUUUUAUUUUUAUUUUAUCUAUUUUAUUGGCCAAUUCUGGCAUGUGUUGUUUUAAAUAUUGUCUCCAACUCUUCCAGACAUCAUUAGUCCAUCUCCAAUCUAUCCAUGCAGUUAUUUCCUCUAUAACAUAAAUACUUGAUUUUACAUCAAUCCAUCCUUCUGUUGGGAUCUGGAGUUGUUCCACCUUUCCCCAGCAGAGUGCGCCGUGGGUUCUCUGGGCUGGAGCUCACCAGCACACCUGGAGCUCGUCAGCCCAUUAGAGGACCCCUCUACUUAAGCAGAUGCCAGACCUUUCUUCGACGCCGCAGUGUUAGCUAAAAAACCUGUCUCUCGUGUGAAGCUCUGGGAGAGCUUAACCUGAAUCUGCCUGCCUGCCCUAGAGAGCCAAACCUGAAGAUCUCACUUUGGAAUCCACCUGCUGCUCUCGGAAGGAGAGCUAACCCCUCAAUCCAAGGUCUGAUCCAACAGUCAGAAGUUAGACGCUGCACCUGCUGAGCACUUUGUCAAACCAACAGUCUCUGGACCCAACCGGUUCCCCCCCUCUGAGAAGAAAGCCUGAAACUCUCCAAGACGCCUGAGAAUCCAGCCCGGACCUGUUUCCUGAACGCAGUCUAAUUUUGUGCAAACAUUUAAU
Long non-coding RNA from Cyprinodon tularosa, 747 nucleotides. RefSeq lists it as uncharacterized. Lineage: Eukaryota; Metazoa; Chordata; Actinopteri; Cyprinodontiformes; Cyprinodontidae. The record is from RefSeq and is a predicted model, not a curated record. The transcript has 3 exons.